RNAcentral lists this ribosomal RNA (619 nucleotides) under uncultured bacterium. RNAcentral's name for it is "bacterial SSU rRNA". It matches the Rfam family "Bacterial small subunit ribosomal RNA", at positions 92 to 710 of the family's 1533-position model. The record is from RNAcentral.
CGAGCGGCGGACGGGUGAGUAAUGCCUAGGAAAUUGCCUUGAUGUGGGGRAUAMCCAUUGGAAACGAUGCUAAUACCGCAUAAUGCUACGGGCCAAAGAGGGGGAUCUUCGGACUCUCGCGUCAAGAUAUGCCUAGGUGGGAUUAGCUAGUUGGUGAGGUAAUGGCUCACCAAGGCGACGAUCCCCUAGCUGGUCUGAGAGGAUGAUCAGCCACACUGGAACUGAGACACGGUCCAGACUCUACGGGAGGCAGCAGUGGGGAAUAUUGCACAAUGGGCGAAAGCCUGAUGCAGCCAUGCCGCGUGUAUGAAGAAGGCUUCGGGUUGUAAAGUACUUUCAGUUGUGAGGAAGGGUGUGUAGUUAAWWASUGCGCAUCUUGACGUUAGCAACAGAAGAAGCACCGGCUAACUCCGUGCCAGCAGCCGCGGUAAUACGGAGGGUGCGAGCGUGUAAUCGGAAUUACUGGGCGUAAAGCGCAUGCAGGUGGUUCAUUAAGUCAGAUGUGAAAGCCCGGGGCUCAACCUCGGAACUGCAUUUGAAACUGGUGAACUAGAGUGCUGUAGAGGGGGGUAGAAUUUCAGGUGUAGCGGUGAAAUGCGUAGAGAUCUGAAGGAAUACC